UGUUAAUUAAUUUAAGGCAUAUACUGACACUAACAUAACAUCUUUUGGAAGGCAGUGACACAUUUUAGAAUUUAAUCAAGUAAAAGUUGAAUAUCGUUAUAUGCCAUGUUAUAUUUCUAGUAUUUAUACUAACACUAAUAGUUAGUACUCCUAAAAAGUAUUAAUGAGUAUUAUAUUAAACAAGCGCGAAACUGAUUUCGUUUCUCUCCAUGGAUAAGUGUAGGACAGUAUACUGUAUAUUAGGAAAGUUUACAGACCUGACUUAGUAGAAAUUGAAAUGAAAGAAGUACUUCUUACAAUUAUUUAUUUUGUUUUCGCGUUUGUUUUACUUAUUAUGUUAGUUUGUCUUGGCUGGUUUCUUGUGUGGAAACUCUUCUUAUCACGAUUUGCAUUUGUUCGUGAGCUGCUUAUGUCAAAUAAUGGAAGCGUUGAAGAAUCAAGAAGUAGAAGUAGGGUGAGAAAAGUUAGAGUGGAAUGAUAAAUUGAUCUUUGUGUUACAAAAACCCUAUGAAAGUUGAUGCAGUAGAAAUCAGUCUUUGUGUUACAAAAACUCUACAAAAGUUGGUACACUAGAAAUCAUUCUUUGUGUUACAAAAACCCUACAAAAGUUGGUACACUAGUACAUUUCAGAGUGUUCUGUUAUGUUUGUUCUGUAUCUGAAUGAAUUACUAAACAUUUAAAAUAAGAUGACUUGCUUCAGAAAGUAA
Limulus polyphemus (Atlantic horseshoe crab) is the source of this 707-nucleotide long non-coding RNA. RefSeq lists it as uncharacterized. NCBI's taxonomy places the organism in Eukaryota, Metazoa, Arthropoda, Merostomata, Xiphosura, Limulidae. The record is from RefSeq and is a predicted model, not a curated record. The transcript has 2 exons.